GGGUGAUUAUCUCAGCUGGGAGAGCACCUCCCUUACAAGGAGGGGGUCGGCGGUUCGAUCCCCGCAUCACCCA
Molecule: transfer RNA, 73 nt
Filed under: Salmonella enterica subsp. enterica serovar Derby
Lineage: Bacteria; Pseudomonadati; Pseudomonadota; Gammaproteobacteria; Enterobacterales; Enterobacteriaceae
Rfam family: tRNA
About the family: Transfer RNA (tRNA) molecules are approximately 80 nucleotides in length. Their secondary structure includes four short double-helical elements and three loops (D, anti-codon, and T loops).
Source: RNAcentral